GAUCUGAAAUCAGGGAGGGCUACCCGCUGAACUUAAGCAUAUCAAUAAGCGGAGGAAAAGAAACUAACAAGGAUUCCCCUAGUAACGGCGAGUGAAGCGGGAAGAGCUCAAAUUUAAAAUCUGGUUUGCUUUGCAAAUCCGAGUUGUAGUCUGAAGAAACGUUUUCCAUGAAAGCUGAGGCACAAGUCCUUUGGAACAGGGCAUCAUAGAGGGUGAGAAUCCCGUCCAUGGUCUCAAGCCUUUCAUUUUGUGAUACGUUUUCUAAGAGUCAGGUUGUUUGGGAAUGCAGCCUAAAAUGGGUGGUAAAUUUCAUCUAAAGCUAAAUAUUGGCGAGAGACCGAUAGCGAACAAGUACCGUGAGGGAAAGAUGAAAAGAACUUUGAAAAGAGAGUUAAAAAGUACGUGAAAUUGUUGAAAGGGAACCGUUUGAAGCCAG
RNAcentral lists this ribosomal RNA (436 nucleotides) under uncultured fungus. RNAcentral's name for it is "eukaryotic LSU rRNA". It matches the Rfam family "Eukaryotic large subunit ribosomal RNA", at positions 1 to 432 of the family's 3401-position model. Lineage: Eukaryota; Fungi. The record is from RNAcentral.